This 462-nucleotide ribosomal RNA is filed under the name uncultured bacterium. Its description in RNAcentral is "partial 16S ribosomal RNA". It matches the Rfam family "Bacterial small subunit ribosomal RNA", at positions 28 to 507 of the family's 1533-position model. The record is from RNAcentral.
GACGAACGCUGGCGGCGUGCUUAACACAUGCAAGUCGAACGGAAAGGCCCUUCGGGUUACUCGAGUGGCGAACGGGUGAGUAACACGUGGGUGAUCUUCCCUGCCCUUUGGGAUAAGCCUGGGAAACUGGGUCUAAUACCGAAUAGGACCGCGCGCUUCAUGUGGUUUGGUGGAGUGCUUUUGCGGUGUGGGAUGGGCCCGCGGCCUAUCAGCUUGUUGGUGGGGUAAUGGCUUACCAAGGCGACGACGGGUAGCCGGCCUGAGAGGGUGACCGGCCACACUGGGACUGAGAUACGGCCCAGACUCCUACGGGAGGCAGCAGUGGGGAAUAUUGCACAAUGGGCGGAAGCCUGAUGCAGCGACGCCGCGUGAGGGAUGACGGCCUUCGGGUUGUAAACCUCUUUCACCAGGGACGAAGCGCAAGUGACGGUACCGGGAGAAGAAGCACCGGCCAACUACGUG